UAUGCCUCAUUUGAUUCAAAGCGUCGUCUGAUUGACAAAACGAGCAUGGCCCCGGCUCGUCAAACUUCAGAUAGAAAAUUACUAUUCAUAGGCUAUUGACAGUAUUUUACUUUUUUGGCCUCUAUUUCUCGGUUACGGUCGUACUUCACGUUUAUGAUCUAAUUUAUUCAUCAAUGAGAGCACACACUGCACAGGAACUGUAUGAAGUGCACUAUAUAUAUUAAUAGGAUCAGACGCUCAACUGCCAACUGUUUCCAACUUUAUUUGCAAUACAGGCUGUAUCACAUUGCUCACUCAACUACAGAGUAUCGUAGAAAGUUUUUGGCUAGUCAUCUACUUCAGCACACUACUUCUACUUCACUUCUCUCUCCGUUUACAGACUCAACGUGAAAGUCCCCAACUUUAUUUGCAAUACAGGCUGUAUCACAUUGCUCACUCAACUACAGAGUAUCGUAGAAAGUUUUUGGCUUGUCAUCUA
RNAcentral lists this long non-coding RNA (478 nucleotides) under Daphnia pulicaria. RNAcentral's name for it is "uncharacterized LOC124338423". The record is from RNAcentral. Lineage: Eukaryota; Metazoa; Arthropoda; Branchiopoda; Diplostraca; Daphniidae.